Humulus lupulus (European hop) is the source of this 168-nucleotide long non-coding RNA. RefSeq lists it as uncharacterized. NCBI's taxonomy places the organism in Eukaryota, Viridiplantae, Streptophyta, Magnoliopsida, Rosales, Cannabaceae. The record is from RefSeq and is a predicted model, not a curated record. The transcript is spliced from 3 exons.
UUAACAAGUUAAAUGGACAGAUUCCAGACUCUCUUUUCAACAUUAGCUCACUCUCUUAUCUUAACUUGGUUGGCAACAACUUUACAAUGAAUGGCUCAAACAACAGUAUUAUUUGAGGUCAGGGGGAUGUAAAUUUGGAAAAGCGUGUAAAUAUAACCACACUAGAGG